CACUUCUAAGGAAGGCAGCAGGCGCGCAAAUUACCCAAUCCUGACUCAGGGAGGUAGUGACAAGAAAUAACAAUAAACCGGCUUAUGCCGGUUUAAUUGGAAUGAGUACAAUUUAAACAUCUUAACGAGGAACAAUUGGAGGGCAAGUCUGGUGCCAGCAGCCGCGGUAAUUCCAGCUCCAAUAGCGUAUACUAAAGUUGUUGCAGUUAAAAAGCUCGUAGUUGGAUUUCUGUGGGGACGGAGCGGCCGGCCGCACAUCGCGGUUCGAGCUAGCGCUUUCCCUACAUCCUGCCGCGAACCGUGCUACCAUUAGUUUGGUGGCGCCGGGGAUCGGCUCGAUUACUUUGAGAAAAAUAGAGUGUUCAAAGCAGGCCACAUGCCUUGAAUAAGUUAGCAUGGAAUAAUAACUAAGGACUUCGGUUCUAUUUUGUUGGUGUUCGGGACUGAAGUAAUGAUUGAUAGGGACAGUUGGGGCGGUCUGUAUUCCAAAGCGAGAGGUGAAAUUCUUAGACCUUCGGAAGACAAACAGCUGCGAAAGCGUUCCGCAAGGAUGUUCCCUUUGAUCAAGAACGAAAGUUGGGGGAUCGAAGACGAUCAGAUACCGUCGUAGUCUCAACUAUAAACUAUACCAGCUAGGGAUCGGCCAACGUUAUUUUAUACCGACUUGGUCGGCACCUUAUGAGAAAUCAAAGCAUCUGGGUUCCGGGGGGAGUAUGGUCGCAAGGCUGAAACUUAAAGGAAUUGACGGAAGGGCACCACCAGCCGUGGAGCCUGUGGCUUAAUUUGACUCAACACGGGAAAACUUACCAGGUCCAGACAUAGUAAGGAUUGACAGGUUGAUAGCUCUUUCUUGAUUCUGUGGGUGGUGGUGCGUGGCCGUUCUUAGUUGGUGGAGUGAUUUGUCUGGUUAAUUCCGUUAACGAACGAGACCCCAGCCUGCUAAAUAGCGCGCGUGAGCUUUGCUCGCGGCGAGCUUCUUAGAGGGACUAUGAUGCGCGAUAGCACAUGGAAGUUUGGGGCAAUAACAGGUCUGUGAUGCCCUUAGAUGUUCUGGGCCGCACACGGGCUACACUGGCGCCUGCAACGAGCAUAUCAGCUGGCCCGAGAGGGUCUUGGCUAAUCUUUUGAACCGGCGCCGUGCUUGGGAUUGACCUUUGCAAUUGUUGGUCAUGCAACGAGGAAUGCCUUGUAAACGCGAGUCAUCAGCUCGCAUUGAAUACGUCCCUGCCCUUUGUACACACCGCCCGUCGCUCCUACCGAUGAAUGUUCCGAUGAAAUUUUCGGAGAGUGCCUGUGAACUUGGCUCUGCCUUGCGAACGGGAAGCUCAAAGUCACUUAAAUCUGAACAUUU
Molecule: ribosomal RNA, 1351 nt
Filed under: uncultured marine eukaryote
Lineage: Eukaryota
Description: SSU rRNA
Rfam family: Eukaryotic small subunit ribosomal RNA
Source: RNAcentral